GACGAACCGUGCGAACGUUGUUCGGAAUCACUGGCUUAAAGGGCGCGUAGGCGGGCUGCCAAGUCUGGGGUGAAAUCCCACGGCUCAACCGUGGAACUGCCUCGGAUACUGGCGGCCUCGAGGGAGGUAGGGGCGUGCGGAACUGUGGGUGGAGCGGUGAAAUGCGUUGAUAUCCACAGGAACUCCGGUGGCGAAGGCGGCACGCUGGACCUUUUCUGACGCUGAGCGCGAAAGCCAGGGAGCAAGCGGG
Molecule: ribosomal RNA, 250 nt
Filed under: uncultured bacterium
Lineage: Bacteria
Description: partial 16S ribosomal RNA
Rfam family: Bacterial small subunit ribosomal RNA
Source: RNAcentral